GACGAACGCUGGCGGCGUGCUUAACACAUGCAAGUCGAACGGAAAGGCCCCUUUGGUGGUACUCGAUUGGCGAGCGGGUGAGUAACACGUGCGUAACCUGCCCUCGACUUCGGGAUAACUUCAGGAAACUGGGGCUAAUACCGGAUAGGAAUCCUUUCUGCAUGGUGGGGGUUGGAAAGCUUCGGCGGUUUUGGAUGGACUCGCGGCUUAUCAGCUUGUUGGUGGGGUAGUGGCUUACCAAGGCUUUGACGGGUAGCCGGCCUGAGAGGGGGACCGGCCACUUUGGGACUGAGAUAGGGCCCAGACUCCUACGGAGGCAGGAGGGGGGAAUAUUGGACAAUGGGCGGAAGCCUGAUGCAGCAACGCCGCGUGCGGGAUGACGGCCUUCGGGUUGUAAACCGGUUUCAGCAGGGGCGAAGCUUGUGGUGACGGUACCUGCAGAAGAAGCACCGGCUAACUACGUG
Molecule: ribosomal RNA, 464 nt
Filed under: uncultured bacterium
Lineage: Bacteria
Description: partial 16S ribosomal RNA
Rfam family: Bacterial small subunit ribosomal RNA
Source: RNAcentral